GACGAACGCUGGCGGCGUGCUUAACACAUGCAAGUCGAACGGAAAGGCCCUGCUUUUGUGGGGUGCUCGAGUGGCGAACGGGUGAGUAACACGUGAGUAACCUGCCCUUGACUUUGGGAUAACUUCAGGAAACUGGGGCUAAUACCGGAUAGGAGCUCCUGCUGCAUGGGGGGGGUUGGAAAGUUUCGGCGGUUGGGGAUGGACUCGCGGCUUAUCAGCUUGUUGGUGGGGUAGUGGCUUACCAAGGGUUUGACGGGUAGCCGGCCUGGGAGGGUGACCGGCCACAUUGGGACUGAGAUACGGCCCAGACUCCUACGGGAGGCAGCAGUGGGGAAUAUUGCACAAUGGGCGGAAGCCUGAUGCAGCAACGCCGCGUGCGGGAUGACGGCCUUCGGGUUGUAAACCGCUUUCGCCUGUGACGAAGCGUGAGUGACGGUAAUGGGUAAAGAAGCACCGGCUAACUACGUG
This 468-nucleotide ribosomal RNA is filed under the name uncultured bacterium. RNAcentral's name for it is "partial 16S ribosomal RNA". It matches the Rfam family "Bacterial small subunit ribosomal RNA", at positions 28 to 507 of the family's 1533-position model. The record is from RNAcentral.